UUAAGUAGACCACCUGCAGUAUAAUGUAGGCUUUCCAAAGGCAAAGGGAAAAGGCAGAUCAUUGCUAUUCUUAGCUGUGCAUAGCACUGGCACACCCAAAGCAACAACAUUAUCAGCUAACUUUUGCAACCCACAUUAACUGAUAUCAUUGUACUUGUUAAAAUAAACUCCUAAUAUAUUCAUCAAUAACCUGGAAAAUUACUGGAAGUCAACAAAUACAAGACUGCAAUACCUUAAUUUUAGUUUUUCCUAAAUUAAAGUAAUUCACUCAACCAGGACCAUAAAAGGCUAUAAAUCCUGACAGCAGUUCCUUUUCUUUACCACCGCUUGGUCCUUGAUAACUGCACAGUGCGAAACUCACAAUCAUACACGCAUGCAAGACUUUCAGGGAACAUGGUACAAAAUACAGUCAGCACUCACAUAUCCAACCCUGUGACGGAUAUUCAGAAAAAUUGUAACAUUGAAGAGAUGGGCUUUGGAUCAGAGAACAGGUGACGUAAAUCGCAUAUGAUGGGAUCUGCUGCCUGACUACCCAACAUAACACAAACAAGAGGCCAUACAAGAAUGAAGAAUACAGCAUCCAGUGCCUGCAGCAGUUAUAACAACAUGGUUUCUAAAAAAAGAAACCCAAUCUGUACAUCCCAAAAGACAAUAAACUCUAAGGAUUACCAAGAACAAAAAUACACUACCACAUGGAAAAUAUAUCUCCUGUUAAAGGAUUUAAGUCAAUUAUAUUAAUGUAUGGAAUUUACAGGAAAACUCCCAAACCCAAGCCAUAUAUAAAACAAAAUCUGUGGUAAAUACAUAAAAAAACUAAUUGCAGAUGUACCGGUAUAAAAAAAAAAUAAACAGAGAACAUAAACCAGAGAAGCAUACACUACCAAUACAUCAAUGAUACGGAUUAGUGUUUCCAUCUAGGACAGUUGGUGGAAAUAACCAUAACAUUGUCAUUCUCAAACUCCAGCUACAGAAAGCAUCUGCAUAUUCAGGAGGACCCACUACACAAUAAAAGAGAGCAGCCCUGAUUUCAUUAACAGCAAUUCACAUUCUAGAAUAUGCACACAAAUCUGUUCUACAGGCACUACUUACAGCUGUGUUAACAUGACUUACCUGUUGGGUAAUGGCAAAUAUACAGUAUGGACACCAGCACAUCGAAGACAUCACAAUUCGAAGUUAACUUCAUCAUCGCAAUUAGGAAACUAUGACCAAUAUUGUGGCAUUGUUGUGGGUUUUUUAUGCAAGUACAUACUUAUGUCUUCUUUUAACCCUUCCCUCUUUGUAAACUUUUCUGAAAGUUGUAUUUAUCUAAAUUAAUAUUAAUGAUUCAAUGAUAUGUCUUCAAAACACUGAAUAUAUGAUCAGUAGCGAUAUAUAAGGGUUAGACACCCUAAGCCUAAAACAACCUACAACAUUGCAAUAUGUUCCAAAGAAAAACAAAUUAACACAGUGUGCAGUGCGAGUCCCAGCCACAGACUAAAUAUCUUUGAAAUCUCAAAAAUACUAAAAUACAACGCAUGAUACCAAAAAUCAAAACUCCCUAACAAAUAUCAUUUCACAUUACACAGUAAGAGUAAUAUUCAAUACCUCAUUACCAGAACAAAAUAUGUCAGAUGGAUAAUAGACUGGUGAGGUUUACAUAUGGUGAUCAUUUCUCAAGCUAUUUCCAUUAACUGUUUGUGUUACAUUUUGCUUAACCCACCGCUUGAUCAAACCAGUUUACAUGUAGCUUCCCUUCUUGAAAAUCUAGUCAAAAAAAGCAUUACAUUUCUUUUAAAAGUAGAAUCUUUUCUGUGUGUAAUAUACAUUGCUUGGGAUUUCUGUUGUUGAAGAGAUUAAAAGAACAGCUUACAUAUUCCAGUACUCUAUUGUAUUUUAAGAAGGAUUUACAUCAAGGAUUCAGUUUACAUUACAAGCCUAUGCUAAAAAAAAUCCCUUAAAGACAGAAUGCAGUGCAUGUAAUUGAAUUAAACAAUUUCACUAGUAAAUAAAUGCAAUGCUGGAAUUUUUUACUUCAUGUACCGCUAAUGCUUAUCGUGCAUAAGACAACAAUAAACUGAAUUAUAACUAGCCUAUUCAAAUAUUUUGUAAAGCACUAGGGAAGUAGAAACUGUACCGUAUAACAGCUUACUUGCAUGGUGAAGGUUUUGAAUCCUUAACUGAUACAUAUUUUAUUACAGUGGUUUUGUGCAAUUAUUUUGUAACCAUGACAUUUUUGGGUUUUCUGUGCACAUCACUCACAUUUUCAUGUCAAGAAGGUGAGCACGCUAGUUUAUCAAGAAAAGGGAUAUUUACCCGCGAAAAUAUUUUAUCAUGAACAUGUCUUGAGGAAUGUUCGUGGCAAACUUAUCAAAGUGUAAUAAUACUAUAACAUGAUCAAAUCCAAACUAGACUUGUCUCAUGAAUAAACAGAUCCUUAAUUGAUAGGAUAACUAUUAUUUAUUCUGCAUCACCUAUGUUUCAUUUGCAGAUAGGCACACACACUCAUCUGUAUUGUGGGAACUUUUUAUAAAAUGGCAAAAAGGAUGUGGGUACUUUUUAUUUUUUUUUUAUUUGUACUUUUUCUGCUGUUACUACUGGAAGGAUCAAUUUUUAGUGCAAUGCACUCGCCACUCUGAAUGCUGAGUCUCAAUCAGGCACCGAAGCAUUCCACUUUGGCCAAGGAGUGCCAGACAAGGAUGUCUUUAUUAACAAUAGCAAUAUUAGCACUGGUCCCAAUUUUGUAUUCUGUACUUCAGUUUGGACUCUGCAAAUAUUUCAAAGGCAACUCUUGGUACCAAAUAGUUUCUACUGGUCUAACUGAAAUCUGGCCGUAUGACCUAGUGCCAGGAAAUGAUUAGAUACCAAGAAGUAACAGUAUACAAAUAAUGAAUGUUUCCCAUACCAGAAAGAGGGGUCAGUGACGUCGCUAAUAAUGCUAAUAACAGAUAACUUGGUGUGAACCCAUGACAAUGCAGACUGCAAGCAAGGGCCUUAACCAUUAUGCAAAAGUGCCCGGCUCCUUUUAAAGUCAUUUCUCGACGGGGGUCAGAAUGCAUAGCAGCAGGGCAUCACACAACACUACCUGUUACACGUAAUUGUUUUUAUCUGUAAAGCAAUUUGAAGCGAUGUAUUGCGAAGGGUCGUAUACAAGAAAUAAAGAGUGAUUGACUGAUUGGCUAAAUUGCUAAGCAUUUAUUUUUUUUUUUUUAAAUCUAUACAGCUUAUUUGGUCAUAUGGUGGCACAAUGUUUGGGUAACACAAAUUCAAAGAAAUAAAAAAAAGAACACGGCACUCAUUAAAAUAUCACUGGUAUGUAAUUCAAUUUUAAGUUAUAAAAAAGGCUUGCAAUAAAAUACAUUUCAUGUAAUAAUGUUUUUUUUUUUUUUUUUUUUUUUUUACAAAAAACAUACUUAAAAGGAUGCAGGCACAGUUCAGAAAAAUCCUUUACAUUUAUUCUUAAAAGCAUCAGGGUGUAUUACAAAUACAAAUCACUAGCAGCACUUAUUUAA
Molecule: long non-coding RNA, 3488 nt
Organism: Polyodon spathula (Mississippi paddlefish)
Lineage: Eukaryota; Metazoa; Chordata; Actinopteri; Acipenseriformes; Polyodontidae
Exons: 2
Source: RefSeq, a predicted model, not a curated record